UAUUAGCGGAAAUGCUGGACG
Molecule: unclassified non-coding RNA, 21 nt
Filed under: Chlamydomonas reinhardtii
Lineage: Eukaryota; Viridiplantae; Chlorophyta; Chlorophyceae; Chlamydomonadales; Chlamydomonadaceae
Description: small RNA Cre_2413
Source: RNAcentral